RNAcentral lists this transfer RNA (68 nucleotides) under Polyplax asiatica. RNAcentral describes it as "tRNA-Ile". The record is from RNAcentral. Lineage: Eukaryota; Metazoa; Arthropoda; Insecta; Psocodea; Polyplacidae.
AACACAGAGCCUGAUUAAAGGACUAUUUUGAUGGAAUAGAUUAUGGUCAAUUUAUUGGCCCUGUGUUU